Non-coding RNA from Erythranthe guttata (spotted monkey flower), 1015 nucleotides. Lineage: Eukaryota; Viridiplantae; Streptophyta; Magnoliopsida; Lamiales; Phrymaceae. The record is from RefSeq and is a predicted model, not a curated record.
CCCCUCAUUUCUUCCUUCUCUCUUCUCUCUCUCUCUCUCUCUCUACUUUCUCCAGCGUUUGUGGAGCUGCUUGUAAGAAGAACAAAAUUACAGUAAAAAAACGAAGAAAUAAUUAAUUGGAUUAUGAUAGUGAGUUUGUUCGAUGGAUGAAGCAAAGAGGUUUGGAUCUCUCAGUAUUAAUGGCUUCUCUCCUGUUUCUUCCUCUCCUGUUCUCUGGAAAUCCAGAAAAAGAUCAGUAGGCACGAAGAAGAAUCCAGUCAAGACAGUACCAGACGACAAACCGCAAGAAUCUUCCACACUUGAAACAGUUUCGGACACCGAUAAAUCCCCAGAGAAAGUUCUAGAACCUUCUGAAGAGAACAAGAAUCAGGAACCGAACCCUUCCUCAGUUCUCUCCGAAAAACGAAAGGCUCUUUUCGAACCCCUCGAACCACCGAUCAACAUAAACGGGAAACGCCCCUCUGCAGAAACACUGCUUCCGCCUCCCGAUUUCGAGUCCGCCACAUAUCCGCGUGGAUGGCUAAUCGGAAAAAAACGGAAGCUCGUAAAUGUGGAUGUUGUCGAGAGCAUGCGAAGAAUCGCCGUUCAAGAAAUGAAUCGAAAGGAUAGAGAAAUAGAUGGGCUGAACGAGCAGUUGGAAGAGGAUGCUCGAUGUUUGGAGCACAUUCAGCUGCAGUUGCUCGAAGAACGGAGCAAACGUGCUGAUGUGGAGAGGCAGAAUAAUAUGCUGCAAAACCAAAUUAAUAUGCUUAUGGAUAUGUUGCAGGAAAAUGAAGUGAUGGAUGAAGAAGAAGGAACUGAUCAAGGGUUGUAAGCUUCUAUUUAUUAUUGUUGUUAUAUCUAUAUAUAUGUGUGUGUAUUUUUUUAUUUUUUUUAUUAUGUGGUUUAUUCUUUUUUGUAUGUGCAGCAAUAUAUAGAAAGUAUGGGUGUUCUUUUGUUGUAAUUGUAAUGUGUUUUGUUGACCGUUGGAUGAUGUGAUUAAAUAUUUAAAACAGUAUUGAUUUCUUGGUCCGUA